Long non-coding RNA from Alosa sapidissima (American shad), 2434 nucleotides. RefSeq lists it as uncharacterized. The record is from RefSeq and is a predicted model, not a curated record. The transcript is spliced from 2 exons. NCBI's taxonomy places the organism in Eukaryota, Metazoa, Chordata, Actinopteri, Clupeiformes, Clupeidae.
AAAUGGAGAAAGAGAGGAUAGAAGACAUGAGCAGGAGAAAGAGAGGAUAGAAGAAAAGGAGAUGGAGAAAGAUAAUAGAAGGCACUCAGGGAGGAUUAUUAGAAACACACCUGUUGUUCAGAGCCUGUGUUUUACGGAUAACGGAUCUGGUACUUGUGUUUUACGGAUAACGGGACUGGAACGUUAUUACUGUAUGUGUGUGAUUGAGGAAUGUUAUUGUGUGUGUGUGAUUGAGGAACGUUAUUGUGUGUGUUUGUGUGUGUGUGUGGGCGGGGGGGGGGGGGGUCUCACAAGCUAGACGCACUGUUGUAUUGUGUAUUUGGAUCUCCUGAGACCGGCCGGGGAAGAGAGCGAGCUUUUAUCCUGAGCGUAACUAUGGGUCACUCUUAUCCUGAGCGUAACUAUGGGUCACUUUUAUCCUGAGCGCAACUAUGGUUCACUCUUAUCCUGAGCGUAACUAUAGGUCACUCUUAUCCUCAGCGUAGCUAUGGGUCACUGCUUAUCCUGAGCGUAACUAUGGUAACAAUGGGUCACAGUUAUCCUGAGCGUAACUAUAGGUCACUCUUAUCCUGAGUGUAACUAUGGUAACUAUGGGUCACUCUGUCCAGCCUCCAAGAACACUCUCUGUCUCUUGUUCAUUCUGCUGGAGGUUUCAGACAGAGGUGUGUGUGUGUGUGUGUGUGUGUGUGUGUGAGACCUCUCUAUGGUAACUGUUGGAUGAUACCGGGUCAAGUAACGGAGGGGUUUCUGCAGGCAUGAUGUGUGGUGCAUUGGUUGGUCACUCACAAACAGUACUGCAGUGCCACCUAGUGGUGACACAAAUGAACAGUCCUGAGAAUCCUCCCAGCUGAUGUUCAGCUAAUGACAGAGGUCUUUAGGGGACAGAAGUGUUUAGGGGACAGAGGUCUUUAGGGGACAGAAGUCUUUAGAGGACAGAAAUCUUUAGGGGACAGAAGUGUUUAGUGGACAGAAGUGUUUAAGGGAACAGAGGUCUUUAGAGGACAGAAGUGUUUAGGGGAAGACAGAGGUGUUUAGAGUACACUUGAUGGAGUGUAAGAUGGCUCUGAUUCGGCUCCACCCACAUAAGAUGGGAGACCAAAGCCUCUAGGGGCAGAUAGAGGUCUUUAGGGGCAGAUAGAGGACUUUAGGGGCAGAUAGAGGUCUUUAGUGGGGGAUAGAGGACCUUAGGGGCAGAUAGAGGACUUUAGGGGCAGAUAGAGGUCUUUAGGGGUGGAUAGAGGUCUUUGAAUGUAAUAUAGCUCUGAUUGUCUGCACUACAGUAGUAGCUUCAUGACACACACACACAGACGAGGAAACAGGUGGCCCUUAAGGAGAGUAUCCCAUGAAGACACACACAGAGACACACACACAGACAAGGGAACAGGUGGGCCUUAAGGAGAGUUUCCCAUAAACACACAUGUGGCCUAUACGUUGUAGUGAGUUUUCCCACCGCAUCUCCUGCACUCUGUGCUGUGAUUGGCUCUCCAGGAGUCACAUGUCAGUACCAGACAUCAGUCACAUGACACAUACUCUUCCUUCGGAACUAUUCUCUGGGGUUCAAGACGGACAAAACGCCACAAAGCUGAUUCAAAGCAUAUGAUAUGAAAAGGCACACACACACUUACACACAUAUUCCUGUAUAGGAUUUUGGAGAAGCAGAUGGCAAUGGGGAUAUCAUUACCACAGAUAUGUUUAUAGCGUGCCGUGUAGCUAUGAGCCAUAUCAAAAUAAAGCGCUAUUUUCAAACCACUGGCAAGGCUCAAAGUAGCCUUACACUUCAGUGGUUGUGUGGACAGGGUCCCUGCAGACAAACCCAAGUAUUAUAAACUUUGAAAGUGUACAGAGAGGUUUGGCUGAAUCUUAGUUGAAGUGAACGUGCCCACUGAGUUGAAGGUGCCCACUGAUGUGACGCUACCGGAUAAGAAGUGAGUCAAUACGCUGCCUUCAGAAACAGCCCUUGUUAGGACCUCUGUAACCUUACACUGUUUACUAUACUUCAGUUUGUCUGUAGGGACCCUCCACACGACCACCGAAGUGUAAGCUAGUGUCAGUGUCAGUGGUUUGAAAAUAGUGAUUUGUUUGACGCGGUUCUAUGCCUCAUAGCUACACGCUAUAAAUCGUUUCAUUCCUAAUGGCUGUUUAAACACGGGAUCUUUCCUUUAAAGGCCACAGUGCUGCUGGGGUGCUCUCCAGUCAUUUCAGCCCUCUAACAGCUGAGAGGCAGAGGAGGGUGGGGUGACAAACGGAAGAGUGUGUGUGUGUGUGUGCGUGUGUUUGUUUUGUCCCGUGAUGUAAUCCUUCCAAUCACAGUUGCAAGUCCAUUCCCUCUAAAACACAUACACACAAUAUCACAAUACUUUCAUACCCAUGGACCGACUGGCACAAACAUAUACACUCUCUCACACACACACACACACACACACACACACACACA